AUUGAUUUUGACCUCUUGCUGACCCCCCUCCAGUAGUAAACAUCCACAUCUGUGUUCUCUACAAGAGCCACAGACUCCAACCUGGCUGAUGAGUCGAUCCAGUCCGCCCUAGAGUGAUGCCGUGUGCAGCACGCCUGGUCCUUUGCGGCCCCCGUGCAGGCGAUGAUCUCGCCCCAGUCGAGUGUCUGGCUUCGGUCGGCUCUUCUGGGUGGGUGGUUCUGGACGUCUGACAGGU
This 235-nucleotide small nucleolar RNA is filed under the name Hortaea werneckii EXF-2000. RNAcentral describes it as "Fungal small nucleolar RNA U3". It matches the Rfam family "Fungal small nucleolar RNA U3". From Rfam's summary of the family: Small nucleolar RNAs (snoRNAs) are involved in the processing and modification of rRNA in the nucleolus. Lineage: Eukaryota; Fungi; Ascomycota; Dothideomycetes; Mycosphaerellales; Teratosphaeriaceae. The record is from Rfam by way of RNAcentral.